RNAcentral lists this unclassified non-coding RNA (405 nucleotides) under soil metagenome. Its description in RNAcentral is "partial contains 5.8S ribosomal RNA, internal transcribed spacer 2, and large subunit ribosomal RNA". The stretch from base 1 to 121 matches the Rfam family "5.8S ribosomal RNA", at positions 35 to 154 of the family's 154-position model. The record is from RNAcentral.
GAUGAAGAACGUAGCGAAGUGCGAUAAGUAAUGUGAAUUGCAGAAUUCAGUGAAUCAUCGAAUCUUUGAACGCACCUUGCGCCCUUUGGCCAUUCCGAAGGGCAUGCCUGUUUGAGUAUCAUGAACACCUCAACUCUUUAUGGUUUUCCAUGAUGAGCUUGGACUCUGGGGGUUUUGCUGGCUCACAGUCGGCUCCUCUAAAAUGAAUCAGCUUACCAGUGUUUGGUGGGUAUCAUGGGUGUGAUAACUAUCUACGCUUGUGGUUUUUCCACCAGGUAACCUUCAGCAGUGGAGGUUCGCUGGAGCUCAUAGAUGUCUCUCCUCAGUGAGGACAGCCCUUUGAAUGUUUGAUCUCAAAUCAGGUAGGACUACCCGCUGAACUUAAGCAUAUCAAUAAGCGGAGGA